ACCCUNUCCAAUUUUCACCACCGAACCCCUGGCUCCCCCCUCCANUAAAAANCCCACCAAAAGGCAAUAAUAAAGGGAAAUGGCAAAAUUCAUGGAACCUUCAAACCUUNAACCCCCCCUGGCCCCCCUGGGAUUUCCAAGAACNUGG
RNAcentral lists this ribosomal RNA (148 nucleotides) under Phlegmacium calyptrodermum. Its description in RNAcentral is "5.8S ribosomal RNA". The record is from RNAcentral. Lineage: Eukaryota; Fungi; Basidiomycota; Agaricomycetes; Agaricales; Cortinariaceae.